AAGUCGUAACAAGGUUUCCGUAGGUGAACCUGCGGAAGGAUCAUUAACAUUAUCUAUCAAAACACUAACGGGGGUCACAUCCCGUUUUUGUAUCCCAACCAAACAGCGAACUAAUGUGUGAGGAAGUGGGUUGUAACCCAGCCUCUUUCUUGCACUUUUUUCAUUUUUCCUUUAACCACAUUUUAAACCCAAUGAAAUUUUAUGACUGAACCUGUUCUUGCCUCUCGAAAGGGAGAAGAACAUAAAAAACAAAAACUUAAGAAACAACUCUUAACAACGGAUAUCUUGGCUCUC
This 294-nucleotide unclassified non-coding RNA is filed under the name fungal sp. RNAcentral's name for it is "partial internal transcribed spacer region". The stretch from base 1 to 46 matches the Rfam family "Eukaryotic small subunit ribosomal RNA", at positions 1786 to 1831 of the family's 1831-position model. Lineage: Eukaryota; Fungi. The record is from RNAcentral.